Gallus gallus (chicken) is the source of this 484-nucleotide long non-coding RNA. RefSeq lists it as uncharacterized. The record is from RefSeq and is a predicted model, not a curated record. NCBI's taxonomy places the organism in Eukaryota, Metazoa, Chordata, Aves, Galliformes, Phasianidae. The transcript is spliced from 2 exons.
CUUUCCAUUGGCUGCUUCCUCUGAGGACAUAAUUGUGUACAUCCUCCGUGGAUCAGGUGGAUCGUACUUUUCCUUGGGCAUUCCUGUCGAUACAAAACGACAAAGGAUUACGACAUUUUAUACGGAGUAUUCUUUAAAAGCCCAGCGUGGACAGUGGAAGAGAACUGCCAAAAAUUCCUCUAGGCAGAGCCCUCCCUCCAGCAUUCCUGUCCAGCAGCAGAUCAGUAGCACCUCCAUGCACAGAGAAGGAAUGAGAAAAAAGCAUUGCUGUCUCCUCUCCACCUCGAGAAAAAAAUAUUUGGAACUCAGUCAGUUGAAAAGGGAAAACAGUUUAAGCAUACCUUGAUUUGUAUGAAUACUGUAUUAACUUAAACGCUAGUUGCGUGUUUUAAGGUUACAAAGGACUCCCAAUAUACAUCAUUUUUACCACAAAUAAAAACAUGCUAUUGCACAGUUCUUUGCAUACGUAAGAGCUUUUAUGGCA